RNAcentral lists this ribosomal RNA (604 nucleotides) under Trichoderma harzianum. RNAcentral describes it as "eukaryotic LSU rRNA". The stretch from base 227 to 380 matches the Rfam family "5.8S ribosomal RNA". The record is from RNAcentral. Lineage: Eukaryota; Fungi; Ascomycota; Sordariomycetes; Hypocreales; Hypocreaceae.
UUGGUGACCAGCGGAGGGAUCAUUACCGAGUUUACAACUCCCAAACCCAAUGUGAACGUUACCAAACUGUUGCCUCGGCGGGAUCUCUGCCCCGGGUGCGUCGCAGCCCCGGACCAAGGCGCCCGCCGGAGGACCAACCAAAACUCUUAUUGUAUACCCCCUCGCGGGUUUUUUUAUAAUCUGAGCCUUCUCGGCGCCUCUCGUAGGCGUUUCGAAAAUGAAUCAAAACUUUCAACAACGGAUCUCUUGGUUCUGGCAUCGAUGAAGAACGCAGCGAAAUGCGAUAAGUAAUGUGAAUUGCAGAAUUCAGUGAAUCAUCGAAUCUUUGAACGCACAUUGCGCCCGCCAGUAUUCUGGCGGGCAUGCCUGUCCGAGCGUCAUUUCAACCCUCGAACCCCUCCGGGGGGUCGGCGUUGGGGAUCGGCCCUGCCUUGGCGGUGGCCGUCUCCGAAAUACAGUGGCGGUCUCGCCGCAGCCUCUCCUGCGCAGUAGUUUGCACACUCGCAUCGGGAGCGCGGCGCGUCCACAGCCGUUAAACACCCAACUUCUGAAAUGUUGACCUCGGAUCAGGUAGGAAUACCCGCUGAACUUAAGCAUAUCAUAA